GACGAACGCUGGCGGCGUGCUUAACACAUGCAAGUCGAACGGAAAGGCCUCUUUCGGGGGGUACUCGAGUGGCGAACGGGUGAGUAACACGUGAGUAACCUGCCCUUGACUUUGGGAUAACUUCAGGAAACUGGGGCUAAUACCGGAUAGGAGCUCCUGCUGCAUGGUGGGGGUUGGAAAGUUUCGGCGGUUGGGGAUGGACUCGCGGCUUAUCAGCUUGUUGGUGGGGUAGUGGCUUACCAAGGCUUUGACGGGUAGCCGGCCUGAGAGGGUGACCGGCCACAUUGGGACUGAGAUACGGCCCAGACUCCUACGGGAGGCAGCAGUGGGGAAUAUUGCACAAUGGGCGGAAGCCUGAUGCAGCAACGCCGUGUGCGGGAUGACGGCCUUCGGGUCGUAAACCGCUUUCGCUCAUGACGAAGCUUUGUGUGACGGUAGUGGGUAAAGAAGCACCGGCUAACUACGUG
This 467-nucleotide ribosomal RNA is filed under the name uncultured bacterium. Its description in RNAcentral is "partial 16S ribosomal RNA". It matches the Rfam family "Bacterial small subunit ribosomal RNA", at positions 28 to 507 of the family's 1533-position model. The record is from RNAcentral.